Molecule: ribosomal RNA, 389 nt
Filed under: uncultured organism
Description: bacterial SSU rRNA
Rfam family: Bacterial small subunit ribosomal RNA
Source: RNAcentral
CGCAAUGGGCGAAAGCCUGACGGAGCGACGCCGCGUGAUGGAUGAAGACCCUCUGGGACGUAAACAUCUUUUAUGAGGGAGAAAGUUUAUUGAUAGUACCUCAAGAAUAAGGGGUUGCUAAACUCGUGCCAGCAGCAGCGGUAAUACGAGUGCCCCGAGCGUUAUCCGGAAUUAUUGGGCGUAAAGGGUGUGUAGGUGGUUGUGUUAGUCAAUCGUUAAAGCCCGGGGCUUAACUCGGGAUCUGCGAUUGAAACGGUACAACUAGAGGAUGCGAGGGGUGCAUGGAACUCAUGGAGUAGGGGUGAAAUCCGUUGAUAUCAUGGGGAACACCAAAAGCGAAGGCAGUGCACUGGCGCAUUCCUGACACUGAAACACGAAAGCGUAGGUAG